UACGUAGGGUGCAAGCGUUGUCCGGAAUUAUUGGGCGUAAAGAGCUCGUAGGCGGUUUGUCGCGUCGGGAGUGAAAACUCAGGGCUUAACCCUGAGCCUGCUUCCGAUACGGGCAGACUAGAGGUAUGCAGGGGAGAACGGAAUUCCUGGUGUAGCGGUGGAAUGCGCAGAUAUCAGGAAGAACACCCGUGGCUAAGGCGGCUCUCUAGUACGGUACUGACGCUGAGACGCGAAAGCGUGGGGAGCGAACAGG
Molecule: ribosomal RNA, 253 nt
Filed under: uncultured bacterium
Lineage: Bacteria
Description: partial 16S ribosomal RNA
Rfam family: Bacterial small subunit ribosomal RNA
Source: RNAcentral